CCCUGCCAUUUGUACACACCGCCCGUCGCUACUACCGAUUGGCAGGCUUUUUGAGGCGUUCGGAGAGCCUAUAAGGAGCUGGCAACAGCACCUUACUGGUUCAAAGUUCUACGAAAAUGGUCUGCUAG
Molecule: ribosomal RNA, 128 nt
Filed under: uncultured eukaryote
Lineage: Eukaryota
Description: partial small subunit ribosomal RNA
Rfam family: Eukaryotic small subunit ribosomal RNA
Source: RNAcentral